CACAAAAAAAUUAUAGACAGUAUAGUGUAGCAUCAAACAUUGUCCAAUAUUAAUAUAGUACAAUGCUAAUACAGAAUAAUAAAACACAUCUACGUUAAAAUAAUGGAAUACAACAUAAUGUAAUGCAGUGUGCCAAACAUGCCCUAUGAGAAUAAUUUUUAUACUUGUGUAAAACAAAUUUACCCUAAAUCAAUUACAUCUGAUAUAACAAAUGGCAUAAUUACUCAUCAAAUUAUAUUAGUAUUAGUAGAACAAUAAUAAUUUUGCGUAUGGAAACAAGUCAUCAUCUUCUGGAGUAAUACGCUAUAUAUAUAGUGUACCAUCAUUUCAAAUGUUAAUAUGAUAUUUUGAGCAUUGUGCAUACGACUUCUUAUCCAAAUUAUCUCAUAGAAAUUGAAGUGAUGAUAAAAUAUUAUUUCAUGUAGCCUUGACGCUUAUUUUAUAAUAAAUGUUAUAGAUAUAGAAUUGUGAUUAAUAAUAUAAUAACACUCACCAUUAUCAUGGUUAAAUCUUUUAAUUAUUUCCUAUUGGCAGCCUAAUUUCCUCUUAUCAAUGUGACCGGGACUAAAACGCUAUACCUUCUAUUUUUCACACAUAAUAUUGUGGUUGUUAUGGAUACUAUCAAGAGUAAUAUUACACUUUGCACAAUUUGUAUCAUAAGUGAUGAGUCACUUAUUGAUAAAGGUUGUAAAAUUAGCACAUUAAUAAUAAAUAAUAAAAUCAACUAACACAUUACACAUGACAGUUAAUUAUGCGUGACACAUAACUAAUUAAUGAUACAAAUUGUGAAUUUGAAUUGGGUAAGUAUGUUGUAUGUUAUCAAUAAUUACCAUUGCUCACAAUAUAUACUCGAUUUAAAUUGAACUCCAUUAUGAUAUGUAUGAUUAGUGAUGUCCGUUACUCUUUCAAAUGUUCUGUUACCUAUAUUAUAUAUAUUCUCCAAUCUCCCAUUUCCAUAUGAUGGAGAGUCAAUUUUACUUAUUUUGUGCAAUUCAUGAUUGUAUAAGUAAUGUACUUCUUUUAAAAUGUAGGGUUUUUCAGGGGAUUAGGAUCAUGUCCUUAUUUAAACUUUAUUGAAAUUUUAAAAUUCACCUGUCAUUUGUCUUUUGAUGGUAAAAUUUGACUUU
Molecule: long non-coding RNA, 1127 nt
Filed under: Citrus x clementina
Lineage: Eukaryota; Viridiplantae; Streptophyta; Magnoliopsida; Sapindales; Rutaceae
Description: Citrus clementina (C. clementina) long non-coding RNA (CCLE_LNC001516)
Source: RNAcentral